GUGAGGAAUAUUGGUCAAUGGGCGAGAGCCUGAACCAGCCAAGUCGCGUGAAGGAAGAAGGAUCUAUGGUUCGUAAACUUCUUUUGCAGGGGAAUAAAGUGCAGGACGUGUCCUGUUUUGUAUGUACCCUGAGAAUAAGGAUCGGCUAACUCCGUGCCAGCAGCCGCGGUAAUACGGAGGAUCCGAGCGUUAUCCGGAUUUAUUGGGUUUAAAGGGUGCGUAGGUGGUUUGAUAAGUCAGCGGUGAAAGUUUGCAGCUUAACUGUAAAAAAUGCCGUUGAAACUGUCGGACUUGAGUGUAAAUGAGGUAGGCGGAAUGCGUGGUGUAGCGGUGAAAUGCAUAGAUAUCACGCAGAACUCCGAUUGCGAAGGCAGCUUACUAAGCUACAACUGACACUGAAGCACGAAAGCGUGGGGAUCAAACAGGAUUAGAAACCCCGGUAGUCC
This 446-nucleotide ribosomal RNA is filed under the name uncultured bacterium. Its description in RNAcentral is "partial 16S ribosomal RNA". It matches the Rfam family "Bacterial small subunit ribosomal RNA", at positions 354 to 796 of the family's 1533-position model. The record is from RNAcentral.